This 2463-nucleotide ribosomal RNA is filed under the name Triticum aestivum (bread wheat). RNAcentral describes it as "partial small subunit ribosomal RNA". Lineage: Eukaryota; Viridiplantae; Streptophyta; Magnoliopsida; Poales; Poaceae. The record is from RNAcentral.
AUGCAGAUAAGCUUAUUCACAGAACUAAGGCUUUCCCUGAGAAGUUUACAUUCAAUUUUUUGCAAGAUACAUCGUGGGAAAAUACCAGAUCGGCGUCGGCCUAAACAGGGAAGGGUCCGUGCGCUCGAAAAAGCAAUGCGUGACUUUGUUCAAAGGAAGUCUGGACAAGUGGUCGCCCCUGAGAUUGGAAAAGAGUUCGAAUCACUUGCAGAGGCAUUUGAAUUUUACAAUCUUUAUUCUUGGGAGAUUGGCUUUGGCAUCCAAUAUGGUCAAUCUAGGACAAAUGCACAGAAGAGCAGAACCGUUCAAGACAUCAUUUGCGGUUGUGCAGGAAGGCCAAAGAAAGAAAACACAAAGUCAGUAGCCUGCAACUGCCAAGCCUUGAUCAGGCUACACCGCACAGCGGACAAUGGAUGGUAUAUACACGAUUUCAGACCUGAACACAACCACCAUUUGUCAUCAUCAUGUGGCGAGAAACUACAUUGGCCAUCACACAGGAACAUUGACACACACACUAAAGAUAUUGUCAAGCACUUGAGGAGCAACAACAUUGGGAUAACCAAGGUUUUUUGUGUCAUCGCAAGCUUCUUUGGGUCAAUGGAGAGUGUACCAUUCAACAAGAGAUCUCUCAAGUACAUGUGCAAGAGGAUGAACCAAGAGACUGCAGAUGAUGACAUCAGGAAAACAGUUCAGCUGUUCUCUAAACUUAAGAAGAAUGACCCAAUGUUUGCUGACGGUGUUCUUGUUGACUGUGACAGCAAGAUUCAGGCUCUUAUGUGGACCAAUGGAAGGAGUAGAUACCAAUACAAAAUGUUUGGCGAUGCAAUCACAUUCGACACAACAUAUCGUACAAACCAGUACGAUAUGCCAUUUGGCCUAUUUGUGGGGGUAAACCAUAAUUUUCAGAGCAUUAUAUUGGGAGGUGUUUUGAUGAGAAACGAGAAGCAAGAAUCAUUCGAGUGGGUAUUCAAUGAAUUUGUGUCAUUGAUGGGAGGCAAAGCACCGGUAACUAUCCUAAAAGGUAAAUACUUGUGCAAGGGUUGCAACUCAAAACAUAUAAUAAUUCUUGUACUUCAUUCUCAAGUACUGACCAUAUCUAUAAUAUCAGACCAAUGCCGUGCAAUGGAGUUGGCUAUUGCUGAAGUUUUGCCGGGAACGAAACACCGGUGGUGCAACUGGCAUGUGUUGCGUCGUGCAAAUGAGUUCCUUGGCCCUGUCUAUACACAGAACAAAGAUUUCAGGGAUGAACUACACAAGAUAUUGGAAUACAUGCUCACUGUAGAAGAGUUCGAAGCAGCUUGGGCCAAUUUAAUUCACAAGUAUGGUCUUCAGGAAUACCCAAUGUUGACACAGAUCUACGAGCUCCGAGAGAAAUGGGCAAAGCUAUAUUUUGCAGGUGUAUUCUGUGCAACGAUGACAAGUACUCAACGGUCAGAGAGCGCCAACCACAUGUUGAAGAAUUUUGUACCUGUUGGUGCCUCAAUGCACAUGUUUGUUAAGAAUUGCCAGAAACAGUUUGACCGUGAUUCAAAAGAAAAUUUUGCUGAGAAGAAAAGCCACUUGUUGAGCACAGUGCUCAAGACCGGUUUGCCUAUGGAGAGACAUGCUGGGAAGGUUUACACACCUGCGCUGUUCAAACUCUUCCAAGAAGCAUGCUUUAAAUCUGCAUCGUACUACGUCAAGAACACUCUGGUCAUAAACGAUACAUACCGUGUCACACACAUUUAUGCUGAGCGGAGAGAAAGCUGGUCAAAAACAUCUUACAAUGUCGAAGUGCAUCAACCUGAUAAUAUCUUCAAAUGCGAGCGUGGAAUGUAUGAGCAUAUGGGUUUGCUAUGCUGCCAUGCGAUCCGGGUAAUGGCACGCCUGAAGUUCACGAAGAUACCAGAAGCGCACAUCAUGAGGAGGUGGACUAAAAACGCAUGUGAAGAUUUACCUGAGCACUUGAAAAUUUACAAGGGAUGCAGCCCUAUACUUGAAUCAACAACAUUCAGGCAUACAACACUUUACACAACAACUCUUGAUAUUGUAAGGAUGGGUGACAGCAAUCCUGAGGCUUUCGACCUUGCCAUGACAAGGCUGUCAGAUACAAGGGAGGAUCUCAAAGAAAAAGCAACUGAGAAAGACGGCAAAGGGCUGGAGGAUAUACUAGGUAAAGAAAACAUUGAUAUUGACCAGGUUGAUGCAGGUGACAUUAAUCUCAAAUCAUCCAUGAGAGUAGAAUCUCGCAAAAGAGAUUGUGGCCGACCAACCAACGCAAGAUCUGGACCAGGGUAUGAAGUGAGCAAACCCAGAACCAAGUUUUGUUAAACUUGCAGGGGAAAGGGACACAACUUUGGGAAGUGCCCAACUAAUGACGGAUCAAACAAGAAGCAGAGGAAAGAACCAAAGUGCGGGAAGUGUGGCAUACUUGGACACAUCAGGACACAAUGCAAUAGAACAUUUGAAUCGUGGUUUAGAUGA